This is a non-coding RNA of Cinara cedri, 347 nucleotides long. NCBI's taxonomy places the organism in Eukaryota, Metazoa, Arthropoda, Insecta, Hemiptera, Aphididae. The record is from the annotation of a GenBank genome assembly.
ACAUGUAAACAUAAUAGUUAUAAUGGAAUAUUAUCACAGAUUAUACCUUUACUAUCCCUACGUAUGUUACGAAGAAGACUUCAAAAUUUAAAAUUUGAUAGUGGUAUAUUAGAUGAAGUGUAUUAUUUUUUAAAGGUAAAUAUCAAAUCGUUCGCAUGUGAAUUUGAGAGAGAAUGUGUAUUAAUAAUAAAUAAGAUGGCAAUUACACCAGUAUCACUCUAUGAUACUUCACUGAAUAAAUAUAUUGGCAAUGUUAUAAUUUUCAUGGUGGGUGGUAUUACUUCUAGAUGGAAACAAACUGUGAGGUAUUAUUUUACUGGAAAGUCUGUAAACGGUAUACUAUAUGA